GACUAUAAUAGGAUUAUGCAAUAACAAUAAUUCAGAUAGGAAAAUAGUAGUGAAUAAGGUAUCAAUAUAUACAAGCAUAAAAGUGUUGCUUUUAAGUAUAUAACCCUUCAGCCACCCCUUUCCUCCUCCCGGCGAAAAAUGUCGCCGGAACAACACCCUUGGAAUGCUCUCCUUCCUUCGCCGCCCAGCCCCUCUCCCUCUUCCGCACAUAUCAGUCGACGAGUGGCCAUGGAGGGCCGCCGCCACUGCCGUUCUCCCCCUCUGCUGUGACCAACGGCGCUUGGCCUUCGGUCGCGCCGCCCCGCUCAUCUCCCUCAGAUCCCAUUAUCUCUCUUCCUCUCACGCUCUCAGCGGAAACAACAGCUCAAGAAAGACUGCUGCUCUGGCGUCUGCCGCCUCACGCCGCCACCGUCGUCCGGUCUGUCUCGCCAUCAUCCAGCCACCGGUCGCUGCCGCCUUGUGCCGCCGACUUCCCCGAUCAGACAUUCAGCCCCAGAAACGAAAGGAUACUCUACCCCCCAUUCUCUCGACUCGUUCACAAACAAGAUAAGUUUUAAAAACAAAUUUUCAGAUUUGAAAACAAAAAUUGAAUCUUGAGGAAUUUUCGACUUUUAUCGAAACGUGAGUCUUUGCUUGUGAUUCUGAUGUGGUGGUUGAUUAUGAUUGAAGAUGUUUUAUGAGGUCAGAUUUCGGCUCAUAAGGUUAGAAUGAGUAUUUGAAGUUUAUGAGGAAUUGGUCUACUGUAAAUGGGAGUUUUAAGUUCAUGAGUCCUCUAGUCCAUGCUAUUGAAUGUAGAACUGAAAGAAUAAGAAUUUUAAAGAAGUUUGAAUCAACCUUAUGCAAGGGUGAGGUUGGAGAUGUGGUCCCGUGUAUGCUUAAAUCUUCUGUGUUGGCUGAUUUGCUCUGCAGGAGUAAAAGUGCUAUUAAAGAAUUGGUGGCUUGAAGAAUUACAGAGGCAAUAAAAGAGCUGGAGAAGAAUAUUGAGGCAAUAAACGAGCUGGAGAAGAAUAUUACCGUCCCAAUGAUUGGAGCAAGCUGUGGAUGGUGGGGGAAACCAGAGGGGAAAAGCUUUUAUGAAGGGUGAAACUGACGUGUAGGGAUGGGUGAAUUUGUGGAGUUAACAAUUUGUAAAGAAUCAUGUAUACGUGGCUUGUUUGUUUUCAUGAAUUAAAAGAAGAUAUGCACUGCAGAGAACUUGGUGGAAAAGGAAAUGUAAAACUCUCU
Molecule: long non-coding RNA, 1224 nt
Filed under: Salvia miltiorrhiza (redroot sage)
Lineage: Eukaryota; Viridiplantae; Streptophyta; Magnoliopsida; Lamiales; Lamiaceae
Description: long non-coding RNA (SMIL_LNC007758)
Source: RNAcentral